RNAcentral lists this ribosomal RNA (1596 nucleotides) under Triticum aestivum (bread wheat). RNAcentral's name for it is "partial small subunit ribosomal RNA". Lineage: Eukaryota; Viridiplantae; Streptophyta; Magnoliopsida; Poales; Poaceae. The record is from RNAcentral.
AUGGCGAUGGCCGCCGACUCGCCCUCAUCGUCGUCGUCGUCGGGCAUGGCGAGAAGGCUGGCUCACCACCACCAGGCCGUGCUCGGCUUCCUGCUCGGUCUCUUCGUCAGCCUCGUGCUCUACACCACUAUGUCUGGCCAGUUCGGGUCGACCAAGAGCGUUGUCGUUCCGCAGUCAAUGUCCGGCAAGCGUGCAGAACAAAAUGUCAGGACUUCUCCUCCUCCAGUGUCGUCGGCGCCUAACAAUUCUAUUCAAGGUAACGUGCAAGUGAAUACAACAUACCAGUUAGACCAAACAGUAAAUGAUGCUAGUGACAAGAUGAAGGGAGAGCUCAUUCGGCAAGAACUCAAUCAAGACGGUGAUGGGAAUGACGAUGGAAGCAAUGUCAAACAUGGUGCUCCACGCAAGCCCAUCUGCGUCCUAACAGACCCUAGGUACGACAUCUGCGAGAUCUCCGGCGACGGCCGUGCACUCGGCGCAAACCGUACCAUCCUCUAUGUUCCGCCCGCCGAGGAGCGCGGCAGCGACGGCCCGGAGUGGGCCAUCAAGGACCAGUCCCGCAAGUACCUGAGUGACAUCAAGGAGGUGAAUGUCAAGACCCUGAGCGCCGCCCAGUCCUUGGUGGCGCCGGAGUGCACCUCUCGGCACACUGUCCCGGCCGUCGUGUUCGCCAUGAAUGGGAUCAUAGGCAACCCGUGGCACGACUUCAGCGAUCUCCUACUGCCCCUCUUCAUCACCACCCGCGCCUACGAGGGUGAGGUCCAGUUCCUCGUCACCGAGCUCCAGCCGUGGUUCGUGGACAAGUACCGCCUCAUCCUCACCAACCUGUCACGCUACGACAUCGUCGACUUCAACAAGGACAUUGGUGUCCGGUGCUACCCGCACAUCAUAGUCGGCCUCCGCAGCCACGGCGACCUCAGCAUCGACCCGGCCCGCACGCCGCAGAACUACACAAUGCUGGACUUCCGCCUGUACAUGCGGGACAUCUUCUCGCUGCCAUGGGACGGCCAAGGAAUCCCGUACAAGGAGAAGGCCAACAAGAAAAACGCAACCGGCGGCAUCGAUGAUGGCACGGAGAAACAAAAGCCGCGGCUCAUGCUCAUCAACCGCGGCUGGAACAGGAAGUUCGUCAACCUUCCAGAGAUCUCCGCGGCGGUGCAGGCCGCCGGGUUCGAGUUGCUGGUCGUGGAGCCGCUCCGUGACACGAGGCUAGAGGAAUUCUCUCGGGAGGUGGACUCGUGCGACGUGCUGAUGGGCGCGCACGGGGCCGCGCUCACAAGCUUCUUCUUCCUCCGCACCAACGCAGUCAUGCUGCAGGUGGUGCCGUGGGGCUUGAAGCGCGAGGCCAUGAUUUACUUCGGCGUGCAUGUCAAGGAGAUGAUGUUGCAGGACAUCGAGUACAGCAUCACCGUCGAGGAGAGCACGCUCUAUGAAAAGUAUGGCAAGGACCACCCGGCGAUACGUGACCCAGACUCGAUACAUAAGCAGUGGUGGCAGGGUGCAAGGAAGUACUUCUGGGAGGAGCAGGACAUCAGACUCAACGUCAGCAGAUUUGCUCCCACGCUCCACCAGUUGCUUCAGACGCUCAGGGAAUAG